Molecule: ribosomal RNA, 1116 nt
Filed under: Campylobacter coli
Lineage: Bacteria; Pseudomonadati; Campylobacterota; Epsilonproteobacteria; Campylobacterales; Campylobacteraceae
Description: bacterial SSU rRNA
Rfam family: Bacterial small subunit ribosomal RNA
Source: RNAcentral
CGUGGAGGAUGACACUUUUCGGAGCGUAAACUCCUUUUCUUAGGGAAGAAUUCUGACGGUACCUAAGGAAUAAGCACCGGCUAACUCCGUGCCAGCAGCCGCGGUAAUACGGAGGGUGCAAGCGUUACUCGGAAUCACUGGGCGUAAAGGGCGCGUAGGCGGAUUAUCAAGUCUCUUGUGAAAUCUAAUGGCUUAACCAUUAAACUGCUUGGGAAACUGAUAGUCUGGAGUGAGGGAGAGGCAGAUGGAAUUGGUGGUGUAGGGGUAAAAUCCGUAGAUAUCACCAAGAAUACCCAUUGCGAAGGCGAUCUGCUGGAACUCAACUGACGCUAAGGCGCGAAAGCGUGGGGAGCAAACAGGAUUAGAUACCCUGGUAGUCCACGCCCUAAACGAUGUACACUAGUUGUUGGGGUGCUAGUCAUCUCAGUAAUGCAGCUAACGCAUUAAGUGUACCGCCUGGGGAGUACGGUCGCAAGAUUAAAACUCAAAGGAAUAGACGGGGACCCGCACAAGCGGUGGAGCAUGUGGUUUAAUUCGAAGAUACGCGAAGAACCUUACCUGGGCUUGAUAUCCUAAGAACCUUUUAGAGAUAAGAGGGUGCUAGCUUGCUAGAACUUAGAGACAGGUGCUGCACGGCUGUCGUCAGCUCGUGUCGUGAGAUGUUGGGUUAAGUCCCGCAACGAGCGCAACCCACGUAUUUAGUUGCUAACGGUUCGGCCGAGCACUCUAAAUAGACUGCCUUCGUAAGGAGGAGGAAGGUGUGGACGACGUCAAGUCAUCAUGGCCCUUAUGCCCAGGGCGACACACGUGCUACAAUGGCAUAUACAAUGAGACGCAAUACCGCGAGGUGGAGCAAAUCUAUAAAAUAUGUCCCAGUUCGGAUUGUUCUCUGCAACUCGAGAGCAUGAAGCCGGAAUCGCUAGUAAUCGUAGAUCAGCCAUGCUACGGUGAAUACGUUCCCGGGUCUUGUACUCACCGCCCGUCACACCAUGGGAGUUGAUUUCACUCGAAGCCGGAAUACUAAACUAGUUACCGUCCACAGUGGAAUCAGCGACUGGGGUGAAGUCGUAACAAGGUAACCGUAGGAGAACCUGCGGUUGGAUCACCUCCUUUCUA